CUAGAAUUACUUUUCUUAGUGAAUUAAGUCCAUAGGAAGCAGUUUGACGGAAGUAUGAGUGCCAAGAAUGGUUCCAAAAAUUCUGAUUGGAGAAUAGGACUUUCACAAAUAUGCCAUGUGAAAAGCAACCUGUUGAGCUGGAUAAUGAUGUGCUGAGAGUUGCUGUUGAGAGAAAUCCAGAAGCAGCAAUCAAGGAAUUGGUCACAAUUGUCCAUUCAUUCAUUUCAACUUUCAGAGGCUUCUACAGGACUUUGAUUGUGUGUCAAAAAUGGAUAAUGAGUUUCAGCCACAAAAUCUGUGACCUAGCAUGUAAAUAUUUGCAUUUCCUUGCUCUCCCAUGAAAAGAGAGAGUUGUUUUUGAAAAGAGUGGUUAUGGGAAAUAAAAAAUGUUUUCACAAAUGUCCG
This 405-nucleotide long non-coding RNA is filed under the name Androctonus crassicauda. The record is from RNAcentral. Lineage: Eukaryota; Metazoa; Arthropoda; Arachnida; Scorpiones; Buthidae.